This 2014-nucleotide unclassified non-coding RNA is filed under the name Hevea brasiliensis (rubber tree). Lineage: Eukaryota; Viridiplantae; Streptophyta; Magnoliopsida; Malpighiales; Euphorbiaceae. The record is from RNAcentral.
GCAAAAUUAUAAAAUUUCAAACUCAAAUCUAAGAAAGAAAAAAUUAACAGAAUUACCGAAGUAUUUUUUUUUUCAUAUAAAAAAAUAUUUUAGCUUGGAGCAACCCUCAAACAAUACACUUCAAAAUGACAUGAAAAAUUGACUGGGUCGUUCCUGAUCCCCAGGCAGGUCCCUAAAAUGGCAUCAAGAUCAUAAACACAUUUUAGAUUAAGAAAAACAGUAUGAAAGGACUAUGAUGUGCUCGUGACAGUGCUACCAUUGGGUAAAUAAUGCGUUUACCAAGAAGCUAUCAAUUAUCACCUCUUCUGUGCUAAGGAACUGAAAAUAAGCGGGACUUCCCCCCCUUCUUUAUAUAUUUUCCCCCUCUUUUAGUCAAUUUCUCUGGACAAAUUAGAAGUCAUUUUCUUUUUUCUCCUUUCUCAGGAUAAAUUACAAGUUCCUUGAGAAAACACACUUGGCUUCUAGCUACAUAUUUGCCAUCAGAGGCAUCAAAUCCAGCACAUUAGUGAUAAUGAAAAGUUCCCUUCUUUUUGCUCUCCUCUCUUCUCUUUCCCAUCAAUGUCAUGAAACCAGAGUCAAAUUACACAAAUUCUCAGUCAGCUUGCCCAGGGCUCCUGUUAGCAUCACCAUCAUCAAGCUGGACCCAUAAGCUUCGGCUUCUUUCCCCUCCACUUUCCCACGGUUGUUGCCUCACACUCCUAUCAUUUGUAUCAUCCCCAUCUGAAAACUGUGCCCAUACACUUCGGCUCUUCCCCCCCGCACUGAAAUCCUCCUCACAUCCUGCCACUGUCUUUAGGAGUUCUGACUGCAGUAAUGGACAGUUCUCUUUGAGAUACUCAAAACCGUCUGAGCGCAUGACAGCUGAAUGAAACAAGGCCAUCAGAAAACAAGGUAAUUGUGAGUUACUACACCAAGAACAGAAAACAAAAGAGGGGGAGGGUGGUUCAGAAAAAAAUCAAAACCCUAAGCCUGAUUCUCCAUUCCUGGGUAUCAGCCAACUAUGGAACCUCCUUUGGUGUAAGAAAGUUUAGAAACAGAAUGUUCAGGAGUAAAAUACAGACAACAUCAACCCCAUUUAUGGUAAAGGACAGAUACACUGCAGAUGAACGACCAAAUGGCAAUUGUCUUAGCUGGCAACUAUACUAUUCCCAUUCCUAUCACAGUAAAUGCAACAAACUUCGAUGAUGAAAUUACAGGCAUUAAUUCUGGUUGACAAGUCACAGCACAGUAGGAGACAUGCAUAGUUUAGAUUAAAAAGAUGUUCAACCUGGUAUAGCUAGAAGGAUUUUUGAAAUUAUCAUUACAAAUUUGCUUUGGCAGAACAAAUGCAUUUCAAAUUGUAAUACAAUCCUCAGUAAAGGAGGGAUUAAAUGUUUUCACCGCACCUAGACUGCCACAUGAAGCAAUCAAGCAUCAAAUAAAACAACACCCACUACACAUAUUAGUUAGACAUAUGGAAUAGCACCUAUAUAUCAUUGCAUAUUCUUAACUUUUUCAUAUUCCAAAGAACCAUAGGCACGUGAACAGAAACCAGACUGUCAACUCAGUCACUUCGAUCCACAGUUUUUCUUGUUCAAGGCUCUCUACAGAGACUAUACACUACGAAACAGUCAAAGCUAGGGCUGGGCACUGAUUGGAUAUCCGAACUGUUGGCCUUUUAUUUGAUCUGAUCCGAAUACAUCAGAUCAAUAUUUUAAUAAUCUGAAUUCCAUCUAAAAAUAUCGGUUAAUUGGAUAUCUGGCUUUUAUGGUUUGGUUAUCCUAAUACUUUCACAUUAUACUUAUAUAACUAUAAUUUAAUUUUAAUAAAACAAAUAUCAUGAUAUGAACUUGCUUAAUUCCACCUUAGAAGCCAGCUUGCAGGGGGAGGGUUGCCAAUCCAUAUAUAUAACACUCAAGACUUACUUUCUAACUUAUUUGGAACGCAUCAUUCUUGACCCCUUUACACUGUACGUCCUCGUACAGAAAGCUAAGAUCAUGGCUCACCAACCAGACAAGGUAAGGCUUUGAUACUA